UUCAAUUUCAGUCAAACUAUGCAGCAAGAUCUACCCAUGCUUCCAUGAGUCGUUAAAAAGUUCCUUAAUAAACAAGUUGGUGGAAGUAUUGUCAAAAAAAAAAAAAGGAAAAUGGUUGGUGGAAGUAUAUAUUUUGUGAAUAUAUAAAUGGAGGGUGAAGAAGAAAGAUAGAUUUGCGAAUUAAUAGAGAAAGCAUGGAUCAGAAAAAUUCACAAGUCUCAACUAUUCUAUUUGCUUUGCUUCUCCUCUCUUCUCUAUUUCUCAGCCAACCGCAAGCUUUCUCUGUUGAAUCAUUAACAUUACACCGCAAAAUCAUAGAGGGGAAAGAUGGGUUGAAACAGAUUGGAUUCCAAAAAAAGGUUCAAACGAAGCCGAGCAGUUCGAGAAGAGGACCAUCGAAGGGUCAUCCUCCGGGCUCACCAAGACUAUGACACACUUGCCUACUAUAUAUGUGCAUGCAUACGCAUGAUUUGUAAGAGAUUCAAACGUAGGUUAUGAUGUAUCUUUAUUUAUGAGGGUUGUAAUAAGUGAAAAGAUAUAUGUAUGUAUUCAAAUAGAUUUUUUAUAGAAUAUGUUUAAAGAUUUGAUAUUA
Camelina sativa (false flax) is the source of this 592-nucleotide long non-coding RNA. RefSeq lists it as uncharacterized. The record is from RefSeq and is a predicted model, not a curated record. Lineage: Eukaryota; Viridiplantae; Streptophyta; Magnoliopsida; Brassicales; Brassicaceae.